Molecule: ribosomal RNA, 610 nt
Filed under: uncultured bacterium
Lineage: Bacteria
Description: bacterial SSU rRNA
Rfam family: Bacterial small subunit ribosomal RNA
Source: RNAcentral
GAGUCCGCGUCUCAUUAGCUUGUUGGUGGGGUAACGGCCUACCAAGGCAACGAUGAGUAGCUGGUCUGAGAGGAUGAUCAGCCUCACUGGGACUGAAACACGGCCCAGACUCCUACGGGAGGCAGCAGUGGGGAAUAUUGCGCAAUGGGGGAAACCCUGACGCAGCGACGCCGCGUGUAGGAAGAAGGCCUUCGGGUCGUAAACUACUGUCAAGAGGGAAGAAACUGUUAGGUCAUAAUACGGCCUUUCACUGACGGUACCUCUAGAGGAAGCACCGGCUAACUCCGUGCCAGCAGCCGCGGUAAUACGGAGGGUGCGAGCGUUAAUCGGAAUCACUGGGCGUAAAGCGUGCGUAGGCGGCGCUUCAAGUCAGACGUGAAAGCCCUCGGCUCAACCGAGGAAUUGCGUUUGAAACUGUAGUGCUAGAGUCUCGGAGAGGUCAGGGGAAUUCCAGGUGUAGGAGUGAAAUCCGUAGAUAUCUGGAGGAACACCGGUGGCGAAGGCGCCUGACUGGACGAGUACUGACGCUGAGGUACGAAAGCGUGGGGAGCAAACAGGAUUAGAUACCCUGGUAGUCCACGCCGUAAACGAUGGAUGCUAGGUGCCGGGC